UUGAAACUUUCAUACUCAGUUGUGGAUAGAAAGAAACAAAAAAUAUGUGCAUUGUUGUCUAGCACAUGGAACCUUUCAGCCACGUAUUUGAAUUUUAAUCAACAGCAGAAACUACAAACCAAGUCUCUUCAGUGAAAUUUUGAUUUCACAAACCCAUCAUCCGUCAAGCUUUCUUUUUAUAUCAGACUUGCUUCUCAUGCAAAAUUAUUUUCCUUCCUCAUAACAGCCAACUUGGAAAUCUUUUUUACAAGCCCGUCAGAAGGUGGCAGCGGAGCAUAUGAAGCAGCAUUAAUUAUUUCCUGAAAUUUCCCAAGCACUUUCUGCUUUUUGGCCAAAACAUCUUCAAAAUUAUUCUCUUGUUUUCUAGUCUUAGUUGAAGUAAGCACAAGCUCCCCAUCCUUGAUCCGAGUCUUUUCCAUGAGCAUGAUCCUCUCCCUGACUCUUUCACUCAACCAAUUAGCGUUUUUGACAUCAAGCUUCAUAAUAAUUUUUGUGCCAGCUGUGUUAAUACUUCUCAUACGAGCUUUGCUUGGUGUGCUGGUAUUUUGCUUCUGAGUUCCUUUCUUCCCUUUCUUCUUGAUAGGCAUGUUUUUCUUAGCCUUUGUGCUUGCUGCAUUAGUGUCUUCUGUAUGACUUCUAGUGUCAACAUAUCCCGCAAAGCUCACAGAAACAUGACUUAGUGUAAUUUUCGGAAUAGGUUCAUUUCCGGUAGAAUGAGUUCUUUCAUCUGCUUGAAGAAGGUAAUUGUACACGGCCGGCAUUCGUCGAGGAGCUGUUUUCUUCUCGAGGUAGCUCAAACCUGACGUCGACGCAAACCGAACGGCACCGCCGCUGACGGUGGCGCGUGGAAAGAUUGAGUGAGUGACAUUAUUGCUUGUUGUCGAUAGCAAUUUAGGAUUCAACAGUUUCCCGGCGAUCUUAGUUGUCUGCUUUAGGAUCGCUGCCAUUUUCUGGGAAGAAGAAGAA
RNAcentral lists this unclassified non-coding RNA (966 nucleotides) under Hevea brasiliensis (rubber tree). Lineage: Eukaryota; Viridiplantae; Streptophyta; Magnoliopsida; Malpighiales; Euphorbiaceae. The record is from RNAcentral.